Rhipicephalus microplus (southern cattle tick) is the source of this 442-nucleotide long non-coding RNA. RefSeq lists it as uncharacterized. NCBI's taxonomy places the organism in Eukaryota, Metazoa, Arthropoda, Arachnida, Ixodida, Ixodidae. The record is from RefSeq and is a predicted model, not a curated record.
GUCUUAGCGCCAUAGUUUAGUACAACACAUGUUGUACUCUUGUCGUGACUUGUCUGUCUUUGGAUUUGUAUUUUCGAUGUGUUAGUUGCAAGUUUCCUCUGGAAUCUGUGUGACAUGAGCAUGUAAUAGUUUACUUUUGAGUCAGUUACACCUGUGGAAAGUGUAACAAGUGAAUAUCAGCCUAUUUUAGCUGUUUUUUGGUGCUAUGCUAUGCGGGGUCUUGAUUUCGUGAGUGCAGAUCGAGGCCCACCUUGUAUCUCAGCAAUCGAUCUUUCAUGCAGAUUGCUUGCAUCACUUGGCUGCCCUCGACAAUACAGACAUCUGUGGUGUGGAUCAAGGUCCCCUGUGGAUUUUCAUUCGGAACAAUUUGAGCCGGAGCCGAAGCUGGCAGAUUACCCUUUUCAAGUGUAAAUAGAUUUUUAAUAAAAUGUAAUAGAUCAAC